AGACCCGAAACCCGGUGAUCUAGCCAUGGGCAGGUUGAAGGUUGGGUAACACUAACUGGAGGACCGAACCGACUAAUGUUGAAAAAUUAGCGGAUGACCUGUGGCUGGGGGUGAAAGGCCAAUCAAACCGGGAGAUAGCUGGUUCUCCCCGAAAGCUAUUUAGGUAGCGCCUCGUGAAUUCAUCUCCGGGGGUAGAGCACUGUUUCGGCUAGGGGGCCAUCCCGGCUUACCAACCCGAUGCAAACUGCGAAUACCGGAGAAUGUUAUCACGGGAGACACACGGCGGGUGCUAACGUCCGUCGUGAAGAGGGAAACAACCCAGACCGCCAGCUAAGGUCCCAAAGUCAUGGUUAAGUGGGAAACGAUGUGGGAAGGCCCAGACAGCCAGGAUGUUGGCUUAGAAGCAGCCAUCAUUUAAAGAAAGCGUAAUAGCUCACUGGUCGAGUCGGCCUGCGCGGAAGAUGUAACGGGGCUAAACCAUGCACCGAAGCUGCGGCAGCGACGCUUAUGCGUUGUUGGGUAGGGGAGCGUUCUGUAAGCCUGCGAAGGUGGCCUGUGAGGGUUGCUGGAGGUAUCAGAAGUGCGAAUGCUGACAUAAGUAACGAUAAAGCGGGUGAAAAGCCCGCUCGCCGGAAGACCAAGGGUUCCUGUCCAACGUUAAUCGGGGCAGGGUGAGUCGACCCCUAAGGCGAGGCCGAAAGGCGUAGUCGAUGGGAAACGGGUUAAUAUUCCCGUACUUGGUGUUACUGCGAAGGGGGGACGGAGAAGGCUAUGUUGGCCGGGCGACGGUUGUCCCGGUUUAAGCGUGUAGGUGUGUGUUCCAGGUAAAUCCGGUUCACUUUAACACUGAGGCGUGAUGACGAGGCACUACGGUGCUGAAGCAACAAAUGCCCUGCUUCCAGGAAAAGCCUCUAAGCAUCAGGUAACAUCAAAUCGUACCCCAAACCGACACAGGUGGUCAGGUAGAGAAUACCAAGGCGCUUGAGAGAACUCGGGUGAAGGAACUAGGCAAAAUGGUGCCGUAACUUCGGGAGAAGGCACGCUGACAUGUAGGUGAAGUGAUUUACUCAUGGAGCUGAAGUCAGUCGAAGAUACCAGCUGGCUGCAACUGUUUAUUAAAAACACAGCACUGUGCAAACACGAAAGUGGACGUAUACGGUGUGACGCCUGCCCGGUGCCGGAAGGUUAAUUGAUGGGGUCAGCGCAAGCGAAGCUCCUGAUCGAAGCCCCGGUAAACGGCGGCCGUAACUAUAACGGUCCUAAGGUAGCGAAAUUCCUUGUCGGGUAAGUUCCGACCUGCACGAAUGGCGUAAUGAUGGCCAGGCUGUCUCCACCCGAGACUCAGUGAAAUUGAACUCGCUGUGAAGAUGCAGUGUACCCGCGGCAAGACGGAAAGACCCCGUGAACCUUUACUAUAGCUUGACACUGAACAUUGAGCCUUGAUGUGUAG
Molecule: ribosomal RNA, 1450 nt
Filed under: Salmonella enterica
Lineage: Bacteria; Pseudomonadati; Pseudomonadota; Gammaproteobacteria; Enterobacterales; Enterobacteriaceae
Also listed under: 2 other names
Description: bacterial LSU rRNA
Rfam family: Bacterial large subunit ribosomal RNA
Source: RNAcentral